Long non-coding RNA from Artibeus jamaicensis (Jamaican fruit-eating bat), 4578 nucleotides. RefSeq lists it as uncharacterized. The transcript has 4 exons. NCBI's taxonomy places the organism in Eukaryota, Metazoa, Chordata, Mammalia, Chiroptera, Phyllostomidae. The record is from RefSeq and is a predicted model, not a curated record.
UCUAUUUUUAUUUCAGUUGUUAUUAAGAUUAUACGUGCCCUUUGUUCUGCGAGACUUACGAUGAAAAGCAGCGGUCUGCCCUCCGCUCUGUCCCUGCCCCCACCUCCCAGGCACCGGAGGCCGCGGCUGUUAACGAAGACACGGAAGUUGUUUUUUCAUCCUUUGGGAAACAUCACGCUUACACUUUUUAUUUCUUAAUGUUCGCUUUUAGAUACAAUCUACCAUCUCCCUAAUUUGGAAGACAAGAGCUUCCGCUCUGCACACCCUUCCUCCCUGCUUCUCCUGCUGCCAUUUUCCUAACGAUGUUUUGGUAGACAAAUGCUUCAGGGUUCACCGUGUGACCAUGUAAAUAUUAUCAGCAGCCAAGCCAUGUAGAGAAUUAUGCUGACGUUUAUUUCUUGGAUGUCUGUCUGCUUCCCCCAGAAUUAUUAGUUUUCCGGUUAGUUCUGUUUGUUUGCUUGUUUGCUUGGUUGGGGUCUAGGUGCCACCCCCAAUUUACCCCAAACCUUCCCCCAGGAUUUGAGGUCCUCAGGCACCCCUCUGCCUCCUCACCCCCUUUUUUGGAAAUAUUCAUCAUGGAGCCUUCUGAACACAUUUUAUAAUGUCACCCUGCAUGGAAUUAAAAAAUAAUUUUGCUUGAAAAUAUUUCAAGUGAAGACACCGUAUUCGGUUUUUGCCAGUUGCUCCCGAACCCCGCAGUCUGGUGUAGUGGGAUGUGAAGUGGGUGCAAACCGCACCCGAGGUGCCCCGACCGCCCUUCCAGCCCGGUUCUAUCGCUCCAGUCUCCUUCUGUCUAAAACGCUCCAUCUUGCCUUGAUUUCCACACUCGAUGUUUUGAAGAUAACAGGGCAGUUGUUUAGCAGAAUGUUGCUCAAUUUGUGUUUGUCUGUUCCCACGCAAUUAUGCCCCAGUGACAGGCGUCGGGCAGAAACGUCACAGGAGCGACACUGUGCUUUCUCGUUCCUCCUCUCAGGUGCCACACGACUUUGAUUUGUGGGCACUGGUGGUGUCGACUGUGAUCAAUGCACCCUGUGAUGGCUUUCUUCAAUGUCAAGGUGCUUUGUGGUGUUUAGCGGUGGGAGAACGGCAUUUCGAAAACAAGCCCUUGGUGCUAUGUGUGCUGAUUGCUACUGGAGAAUGCUUCCAAACCUUGGACCUGCCUAAUGACUUUCAAAAACUGAGAAAGGAAGGUGGGUAGGAAGAAAGGAAUGUUGACUUUCUCUCUAUCCUGACAUCCCGACUCUGCCUCUGGAAAGAACUGGAAUAAAGAUUAUGGGGGAAGAAAGAACCGUGCCCCAGGCCGAACCACAGGUCCUGGAGGUGAAGAGGGCCUGUGGGCCCCAGACCCUGGCUUCCCACCGCCCUCCAAGGCCUGGUUGAUCCAUCUCAUACAUGCUGUUAGAAACUUUAUAAGCUCCUGAGUUGGGGAGUUAGCAAACUGAUCCUUUGAUGGACCAACUCAGUUACGGUGGGGGUGAGAGGUGAAGGGUGGUCCCUACUCAGACUCUGCGGUCUCCCUGGUACACCCGGAGUAGCUGUUUAUCUGCACUAGGACAACUGGGCUUCUGCGUGAUCUUUCUUCUGACAAAGGUUUAGAAGAAAGACGAAGCCUGGGUGCAAGCCCUCUUCUGCCUCCAGUGUGCUGUGUGGCCCCAGGCAGCCUUCCUGCCUUUUCUGGGCUUCAGCUCCCCACCUGGGAGCAGAGAGAUCAGGUGCUAAGCUCUGUGCAUCUCUGCUCAGGCGUGUGGAACAUAUAGCUGGGGAUCGAUGGGGUCCUCUUUGGCCAUCAGCUGCCGGGGGCAGGGAAGAAAGGAGACACCUUCCCUUCCCUCUCCCAGAGAAACAGGUCCGCUGGCUGGGCCUGGGCCCGCAGCCAAGAGGAAACGGAGACAAUAAGCCGGAGUCACCCCAGCCAGCCAGGGCAGGUUGUGCAACUUCCGCUCAGCGCCUGCCAACGAGACUUUGGCCCCAGGACUCUGAGCUCUGGGCGGCCCUCAUUCCUCCCCUAGGACCCGGACCACCCAGCUUAGGGGGUAGCGUAGGGGUGGGCGGGGUACUUUCUUUGUCCCAAGGGCAGCCAGGUGGCUCCAGGUUCCCUGAGGAAGGUCCCACUGACAGAAGUCAGAGCACAUGGCCGUAGCAGGACGGUGGAGGAGGACAGCCGAGGGGAGGCUCCAUGUGUGACUGAGCGUGUGCCUGAGUUUGCGUGUGGGUGGUGGCAUGUGUGAGUGUGGUGUGAGAAGCUGUGUCAUCCCCUAGGUCACCUGCACGGGAGCAACACCAGAGGGGUUUCUGGAUGCUGCUCUGUACCCAUGUGGAUGCUGGGGAUAAAUGCUCCAGUCUGCCAGGGUAUGACAUGUGUCUACGCAUGUGAGGACACCUUGGUGAGCUGAUGUGUGAGUUAGCUGUGUGUGCACAUGCAUGUUAUGGGGCAUGUAGCAGACUGCAGGGGAUAUUGUGCACAUGGGUGUAAUUCCAUGGGGGCACGUGUAACUAUGAGUGUGUGCCGAUGAGUGAGCAUGUGAGUGUGAAUCCAUGUACAUGUGUGUGCAUUGGUGGGUGGGCAUUUCUGCCAUUGGGGGUUUGUGUGUUUAUGUCUGUGUAAGCCCCAGUGGCUGAGCCUGUGGUCUCCGUGGGGGUAUGACAGUGUGUGGACGUGCAUGACAUGCAUGUGAGUGCAUGUAAAGCAUGGCUGCUCAUUUACAUGCUGGUGCAGGAUGUAACAUGCCGGGACCCUGGGCCUGGGUCCAGACUGUCAUGUGCAUCACCCCUGUUGAUCCCACCAAACUGUGGAUGAUUGGCAUCUUUCCGGCAAGUCUAUUUCGAGUCCCAACUUCCCACCUAUACUGGAGGGUAAGUUGGAUGGGGGGAAUUAUAGGCUCCUCCCACCUCUGUGAGGGCCUGUACCCCAAAGAACAUGAGAGCCCAGAAAUCCUAAGAUUUACCUUGGUCUCUGGGUGAAGGGGCAGAAGGCUUCGAAGUCACAGAAAAAGUCAGGGACUCUGAGCCCAAGACAGAGCACACCCAGGAAGGGCUGGACGCCAGUCAGAGCCCCCUAUCUGGCGGCCUCUACCGUGGCUGGAGGUGGGGGGCUGGCUGAAUGACCGCUGGAAGGGAAGAAGGGGGUCGGGCAGCCACGGCCCAAGCAUCGCUCCCAUAGGCGUCCUGGGCUGGAGGAGGUGGUGACACACCUUCCAGUGGUCAAAUCACAGCAGCAGCCACCUCAGGGAAUCGGUGGUUUUGUAGGGGCCAAAGUCACAAAGACUGCAGCCAGUGCUGGAAAAAUGGCAACCCCCACCCCCCACUUCUCACUAAGCAGAGAGAGUGAGAAACAUUCUCUGGCCUCUCCUCGCCUCCCACCCUAUCAUCUCCCCGCCAGUGUUUCCUGUCGGCCCAACCCCAGCUGGACGCCAGUGGGCAGAGGAGCCUGGGAAAAGCAGCUCGCAGGAGAUGGGCCGUCGCUUAGGAAAGGAAAUAACAAUGCCCAGCACACUCUCCUGUGAUGCACUCUGCAGGGGCUGAGAACUUGGGAAAAGCAAAGAAAUACUUGGCACCCUCCCCAGGACUAUGGAUAUGAUUAACUUUUGAUAAAAGAGUUUAAUGGACUGCGCAUGUGCCCGAGCACACAGGGUUCCCAGCGCCACGUGCUCCCGGAGUGUGGCUUCAUUCCGUCCCCACCACGGCCCCACAAAAUCGGGACAAAGCUUCCUGUGCUGGAGUAGAGGAAACAGAAGCUUUCAGAAGGAAGUGGCUUCUCCCGGGCCCCACAGCUGCAGAAUGGCUCACACCCAUGUCAGCGUGACUCCGGGGACCCGGAGACUGGGUGAAAAGCACUAAGUCAGUUUGGAGUCCGCUCCAAACAGUUGGGAGCAGAUGCUGACUACCAGUCUGGGCUGGAGGCCCUGGGUAAGAUUCUGAGGAGAGAAGUGUUAACCGGGUGGGGCCAGCUGGGGAGACAGCUGGUGGUGGUGAACCCCGGAGCCUCCUGGAAGGGUUAAGAGCAGGACUUGAGAGCCCGGCAGCCUGGGUCGCAUCCGCCCUGCCGCCGCCACCUGUGUGCCUGGCUCUUUCUGCGCCGUGGUUUCCUCAUGUGUCAAGUGGUGUAAUAGUGAUAGUGGUGCCCGUUUCACAGGGCUGCUGUGAGAACUGAAAGUUGCGUAUUUGAUGCUAUUAGGUGUUGCUCUUAUUUCCAUUUCACAAGUGAGGAGCCCGAGGCUCCGAGAAGUUAAGUCAGUGAAGACGGCACUGCUGGGAAAUAAAUCUUGCUGAAGUCUGCCCUGAGUCCGGGGCCCUCUGCGGCGCCCCUUCAUUCCCUGCCUGCGCCCCACAGAGUCUUUGCCCACCCUCUUUGAUGCACACGACUCCUUCCCACUGUCAUAUGAGUCCUCUCUCCUCUUGUCCAGCUCCACUCUGAUAAGCCACCUCCCCAGGCACCUCCAGGCCCGGGGGUGCCUCCAGCUUCCUGCUGUGGCUGAUCUCUGGGCGGUGGCACCAUCCUCCCCCAUCCGCUCCGCUGCCCUGGAGUAACCGGCCCCUGUACUAACUUCCCUCUGUCUGAAACUUAGGGUAUUUCGAGAU